UACGUAGGCAGCGAGCGUUGUUCGGAGUUACUGGGCGUAAAGGGUGUGUAGGCGGUUGUUUAAGUUUGGUGUGAAAUCUCCCGGCUCAACUGGGAGGGUGCGCCGAAUACUGAAUGACUUGGAGUGCGGGAGAGGAAAGUGGAAUUCCUGGUGUAGCGGUGAAAUGCGUAGAUAUCAGGAGGAACACCGGUGGUGUAGACGGCUUUCUGGACCGUAACUGACGCUGAGACACGAAAGCGUGGGGAGCAAACAGG
RNAcentral lists this ribosomal RNA (254 nucleotides) under uncultured bacterium. Its description in RNAcentral is "partial 16S ribosomal RNA". It matches the Rfam family "Bacterial small subunit ribosomal RNA", at positions 524 to 776 of the family's 1533-position model. The record is from RNAcentral.